Molecule: long non-coding RNA, 4785 nt
Organism: Amphiprion ocellaris (clown anemonefish)
Lineage: Eukaryota; Metazoa; Chordata; Actinopteri; Pomacentridae
Source: Ensembl
GUACACCUCCAUGACACACCUGGACACCUUUAAAGGCACAUUUACCUGCACAAAGUCACCUCACACCUGAAGAGGAUCAGGUAGAGCAAACAGAGGCUCCCUGAGGGCUCAGGUGUGAUCAUCGGGUGAUCUGGCCAUGGUCUGACCUGUGUGUGUCAGGUUUAUUACCUGAGUUUAUCAGGUGUGUUACCUGUGUGUCAGGUGUGUUAGCUCUUUGUGGAAGGUGUGUUACUUUUUUGUGGAAGGUGUGUUAGCUCUUUGUGGAAGGUGUGUUACCUGUGUCUCUCAGGUAUGUUAUCUGUGUUUCUCAGGUGUGUUACCUGUGUGUCAGGUGUGUUAGCUCUUUGUGGAAGGUGUGUUACCUCUUUGUGGAAGGUGUGUUACCUCUUUGUGGAAGGUGUGUUACCUGUGUUUCUCAGGUGUGUUAGGUGUGUUAGCUCUUUGUGGAAGGUGUGUUACCUCUUUGUGGAAGGUGUGUUACCUCUUUGUGGAAGGUGUGUUACCUGUGUUUCUCAGGUGUGUUAGGUGUGUUACCUCUUUGUGGAAGGUGUGUGUACACUGCAGCUCUCUGGUGCCGCCGCUGCCUUGCUGUAAGUCGUUGUGACAGAUCAGACAAACGCUGUAGGCGUCGCUCUGCAACACAAACAGGGUUUCUGGUCACAACGCGUCCUGUUGGAUUAAAAUCAUCGUGUCUUUAAACCCACCAGAGACAUGACGUUUCGUCUCCUGAACUGGCUCCGCCUCACGGAGGGCGUGGCCUCUGGGAUUGUGGGUAUGAGGGAGGGUCUUCGCUCAGCGGUGGGGGCGGUGGCUUCCUGUGGGGAUGGAAGGAGGCGGCGGGAGGAUGAACGAUGCAGCAACACCUUCGCCGUUAACGGAGCCCGAGUGGACGAGUGCAGACGAGACAGCUGCAUGGCAGAGAGCGUCGACUGGAAACACAAUCAAGAUUCAUUUAGCUUUUAGACACAUCAGAGGAAUUUACAGGUGAAUCACCAACACAUGAUGGUAAAUAUCAUAAAUAAAAGACCAAAUAUAACAACAGAUUUCAAACAGCAAGACUCAGUAAAACCUGCAGUUUACAAAUACAGUGAGUACAGAUCUGUGAAGGAUUGUGACUUCAAUGAAACUGCAUUAUUCAUGUAGAACAGCAGAAUAUUUCCUCUGAUGAUCAGAAACUCACUCUUUACAAAGACUGUAUUUACAAUUCAGAACCCAAGGUAGAACCUCAGAGAACCAAAGAGUACAGCUGUGAUCCCAAACAGUCUGACUGAUGAACAUGGUUCUAAAUGAGCUGAGAACAGCAGAACCUUCUCAGUCCUGGACCUAUGGACUGGGUCUAUCUAUGUCUGCAUCAUGGCUUCACAUGGAAAAGAACUGAACAGAGGAAGAGAAACAUCUGACUGAGAGACUCGACAAAGAUGGAAAAAGAUCCAGGAAGAUCAGUGAGACACUAAAAACCAGUGAAGCACAGAGUCAGCAGUAAUCAGGAGGUCUAGGAGGAGUCAUAGUACCACUAAUCAGGAGGUCUAGAAGGAGUCAUAGUACCACUAAUCAGGAGGUCUAGAAGGAAUCUUAGUACCACUAAUCAGGAGGUCUAGAAGGAGUCUUAGUACCACUAAUCAGGAGGUCUAGAAGGACUCGUAGAACCACUAAUCAGGAGAUCUAGAAGGAGUCAUAGUACCACUAAUCAGGAGGUCUAGAAGGAGUCAUAGAACCACUAAUCAGGAGUUCUAGAAGGAGUCAUAGUACCACUAAUCAGGAGGUAUAGAAGGAGUCAUAGUACCACUAAUCAGGAGGUCUAGAAGGAGUCAUAGCACCACUAAUCAGGAGGUCUAGAAGGAGUCAGUUCCACUAAUCAGGAGAUCUAGAAGGAGUCAUAGUACCACUAAUCAGGAGGUCUAGAAGGAGUCAUAGUACCACUAAUCAGGAGGUCUAGAAGGAGUCAUAGUACCACUAAUCAGGAGGUCUAGAAGGAGUCAUAGUACCACUAAUCAGGAGGUCUAGAAGGAGUCAUAGCACCACUAAUCAGGAGGUCUAGAAGGAGUCAUAGCACCACUAAUCAGGAGGUCUAGAAGGAGUCAUGGUACCACUAAUCAGGAGGUCUAGAAGGAGUCAUAGUUCCACUAAUCAGGAGGUCUAGAAGGAGUCAUAGUUCCACUAAUCAGGAGGUCUAGAAGGAGUCAUAGUUCCACUAAUCAGAGCUCCUAAAAUGACUCCACAGACAGUGAACUACUUUCUCCAUCCAGCUGUAAAAACAGACGGCAGCUGCUUCAGACUUGGCUCAGGGGUUCUCCAUGGAAACCAGAGUUAGUGUGAAGGAACAGUCAGAACAUCAACCUCUAUGGACGGACGACCAGAACUAAACCUAGUUGCUGCUCAGAACUAAACUUCCAGAUGAAAGUUUGCUGAAGAACAUGAAGAAGCCUGAUGAAUGCUUGAGAACAUUCUUUGGUCAGAUGAAGAUCAAUGAGUUGUGCUCAGAUGGAGUCCAGAUGUUUGGUGAGAACCUGACCAGGACUACCACAGUGGAUGCAGAGUCCUGACAGUGAAGCACGGAGGUGGGUUUCUCCACUAGAACCGGGUGGAAUCAGGACCUGGACAGUGUGAGUCCUGAAGCAGCAGAACCUUUGAGGUGUUCUUCAGAGAAAGGUAGAACAACAGAACCCCUCCAGCAAAGAGCAGCUGAAGAACACAGAGAAGAUGUGAGCAGAGAUGAGUGGAUUCUGGUUCCUCCAUGAGGAGGACUGAAGGAGGAACCAAAGAACCUCACCACUGAGUUCCUGCUGGGGAACCUGAAUUUAAUCUAGAAUCUGAACUGUAGUUUGUAAUCUGAUACCAGAGACUCUACUGUUUGAACUAAUCUGAUUACUGUGAGGGGGGUACAAAUUAGAAUUACUGAACAUUUAGAUUGACUGAACUGAAUAACUGAAUAAUAGAAGUGGGAAAGGUAAAUAAAUGUUAGUUUCAGUUAUAAAUAUUAAUAAAAAUACUCAUUAUGGGCUACGCAGGACAGGAAAACAGUAAAAUAUGCGAUGGUUUCACUGUUUUUUAGCUCAUUGUUAUCGUCUGAAAUGUUUGCAUACUCCUCUGCCUGUGAUUAGCUUGAUGGUUAAAUAAUCUGAUCCCGUCAACACGAGUGUAAAAGCCUCAUUAGAGGCUCUGAGGACACGGUUCUCUUUAGCACCCAACUAGAACAGAGUGGUCUGAGCCAACUGAGCCGCAGCUAAAAAUGGAACAUCUGAUAGAUCAGCUGCUGUGAAGGAACUCCACUGAUCUCACUGACUUCAGUCCCGGAACUGCAGCUGAAUCUGCUGGAAGGUAAACAGUCUGUUCCUUUACAGCAACCAGCAGCUACCCGACACUGAACUUCUGCUGAAGGUUUAGAUGCUGAAGUCAGACCUUCUGCUGGGUUCUUUUGGUGAAUUAUCCAUUUUAAGGACAGUUCUUCUCCCUACAAAUGUUCCACCAAAACAAUUGGCCAUCAGUAUUUAGAGGAGACACGUUGCUGCAUUCUGCUCUUCCUCACAACAACAUCUACAAACAUCAGCUCCCAUAACAACCACCAGCUCCCACAGGACAGAAAGGAAGACCUUCUGUUCUUCAGCUGGAGGGAAAAUAAUGAACAGUAAUGGACCAAACUCAUAGAAAACAGAGAGAAAGGUUUGUUUGUUUCUGCUGCCUCAAACAGUUCCAGUUUGGUGGUAAAACACCAUUAAAAUAAUCUCAACAAAUGGUCCACUAGUACAGCUGCAUGCAAAAUGAUUCCUCCCUCUAUGAGGCUGUAUCUUCAUCUAUGAGGCUGUAUCUUCAUCUAUGAGGCUGUAUCUUCAUCCCUGAGGCUGUAUCUUCAUCCAUGAGGCUGUAUCUUCAUCUAUGAGGCUGUAUCUUCAGCCCCUACGAGGCUGUAUCUUCAUCUAUGAGGCUGUAUCUUCAUCCCUGAGGCUGCAUCUUCAGUUCCUAUGAGGCUGUAUCUUCAGCCCCUAUGAGGCUGUAUAUUCAUCUAUGAGGCUGUAUCUUCAUCCCUGAGGCUGUAUCUUCAUCUAUGAGGCUGUAUCUUCAUCCCUGAGGCUGUAUCUUCAUCCAUGAGGCUGUAUCUUCAUCUAUGAGGCUGUAUCUUCAGUUCCUAUGAGGUUGUAUCUUCAGCCCCUAUGAGGCUGUAUCUUCAGCUAUGAGGCUGUAUCUUCAGUUCCUAUGAGGCUGUAUCUUCAGCUCCUAUGAGGCUGUAUCUUCAGCUCCUAUGAGGCUGUAUCUUCAGCUCCUAUGAGGCUGUAUCUUCAGUUCCUAUGAGGUUGUAUCUUCAGCUCCUAUGAGGUUUUAUCUUCAGCUCCUACGAGGUUGUAUCUUCAGCCCCUAUGAGGCUGCAUCUUCAUCUAUGAGGCUGUAUCUUCAUCCCUGAGGCUGUAUCUUCAGUUCCUAUGAGGUUGUAUCUUCAGCCCUUAUGAGGCUGUAUCUUCAGCUAUGAGGCUGUAUCUUCAGCUCCUAUGAGGCUGUAUCUUCAGUUCCUAUGAGGCUGUAUCUUCAGCUCCUAUGAGGCUGUAUCUUCAUCUAUGAGGCUGUAUCUUCAUCUAUGAGGCUGUAUCUUCAUCUAUGAGGCUGUAUCUUCAGCUCCUAUGAGGCUGUAUCUUCAGUUCCUAUGAGGCUGUAUCUUCAGUUCCUAUGAGGCUGUAUCUUCAGCUCCUAUGAGGCUGUAUCUUCAGCUCCUAUGAGGCUGUAUCUUCAUCUAUGAGGCUGUAUCUUCAGCUAUGAGGCUGUAUCUUCAGCUCCUAUGAGGCUGUAUCUUCAUCU